CACAUGCUCCUUAGAUCCAUCUUUGUGAGUAUCUCUGUGCUGAGUUCUGCUGGAUAACUUCAAUUCCUAGCAGUUCCAGUCAGAGAUAUUCAGCAACUUUUUUGGUUGUACAGUCAAAGAUGCUUGAGUCAUUGGCAUGUGAGAGUAAUAUAACUGCAUGUUAGUUUUCUGUUCUGAUAGAAGUGGCUGUAAAUCUACAGGCCAUUUAUCACUAUCAGGACUUGGCUGGCAUGCAGACAUG
This is a small nucleolar RNA of Apteryx haastii (Great spotted kiwi), 241 nucleotides long. Lineage: Eukaryota; Metazoa; Chordata; Aves; Apterygiformes; Apterygidae. The record is from Ensembl.